RNAcentral lists this ribosomal RNA (782 nucleotides) under Alexandrium tamutum. Its description in RNAcentral is "partial large subunit ribosomal RNA". It matches the Rfam family "Eukaryotic large subunit ribosomal RNA", at positions 109 to 837 of the family's 3401-position model. The record is from RNAcentral. Lineage: Eukaryota; Dinophyceae; Gonyaulacales; Pyrocystaceae.
UCAGCUUGAAAAAUGGGGCCUUCGGCUUUGAAUUGUAAUUUUGAAAUGUAUUGCCAAUGGAGGCGCAGGUGCAAGCCUAUUGAAAGAAAGCGUCAAUGAGGGUGAGAUUCCUUUUUGUCAUUUGCAGUCCUCCGUGCACGGUAUAUAUUUGACGAGUCACACUCCUCGGCAUUGGAAUGCAAAGUGGGUGGUAAAUUCCAUGUAAAGGUAAAUAUAUUAUUGAGACUGAUAGCAAACAAGUACCAUGAGGGAAAUAUGAAAAGGACUUUGAAAAGAGAAUUAAAAGAGUCUGCAUUUGCUGAACAGAAAGCAAACAGAAUUGAUCUUGCCUGGUGAGAUUGUUGCGUCUACUUCUGCAUUUCUAUGUUGGAUGUGGGUGCGAUGGUUCUUGCCUUGAAUGUCAGCUUCUUUUUCUGCAAAUCAUUACCCUUGCACAUGAAUGGUAAUUUGCCUGCGGGUAUUGGAAUGCAUGUGUUUGCCAUGAUUUGUGAUUUGAUACAUGUGUCUGGUGGUACUUGUGUGUGUUCCUUUGUCAAAGGGGAAGGUUUGCUUCCUUGAGCACCACAAGCCCUUGCACAAUGUUGCUGGCAAAAUGUUUCUGCUUGACCCGUCUUGAAACACGGACCAAGGAGUCUAACAGAUGUGCAAGCUCGUGGGUGGGCAAACCUUUUUGCGCAAUGAAAGUAUUGGCUGGGAUACUUGCACCAGCAGCCGACCGAUUAGCAGACAGAGGUUUGAGUUUGAGCAUAUCUAUUAGGACCCGAAAGAUGGUGAACUAUGCC